UACAGAGGUCCCAAGCGUUGUUCGGAUUCACUGGGCGUAAAGGGUGCGCAGGUGGGUUUGCAAGUUUGAUGUGAAAGCCCCGGGCUUAACCCGGGAAUGGCAUUGAAUACUGCAGAUCUGGAGGAUUGGAGGGGGACUGGAAUUCUUGGUGUAGCAGUGAAAUGCGUAGAUAUCAAGAGGAACACCAGUGGCGAAGGCGAGUCCCUGGACAAUACCUGACACUGAGGCACGAAAGCUAGGGGAGCAAACAGG
This 252-nucleotide ribosomal RNA is filed under the name uncultured bacterium. RNAcentral describes it as "partial 16S ribosomal RNA". It matches the Rfam family "Bacterial small subunit ribosomal RNA", at positions 524 to 776 of the family's 1533-position model. The record is from RNAcentral.